AAGUCGUAACAAGGUUUCCGUAGGUGAACCUGCGGAAGGAUCAUUAACACGUAUCCAAACGUUAAAACAACCCUGUGAACCUUCAGCGUGUUCUUGCAGGACAUCAAAACAGCAAUCCCGAGUAAAUCAGGCGCUAAAGAAUUACAGAUUUUGAUUUUGGGAAGUUCUGUGUGUACGUGGACGCUGCAAUUGAGCCCUGUCUGAAAGCGUCAGGGAUCAAUGUUCAGGGUGGCGCAGUCAACGAUCGCUGUAGGUCCACACGACCGGCGACCGGGGUGGAGGCGAAAGCCCCUACGUCAUCCCUAUGUACCCUCCGGGACUUGGCGAAAGCUGACUCCGUCAUAAAUCGAACAACUGUUAACAAUGGAUAUCUUGGUUCUC
Molecule: unclassified non-coding RNA, 381 nt
Filed under: fungal sp.
Lineage: Eukaryota; Fungi
Description: partial internal transcribed spacer region
Rfam family: Eukaryotic small subunit ribosomal RNA (bases 1-46)
Source: RNAcentral